UACAGAGGGUGCGAGCGUUAAUCGGAAUUACUGGGCGUAAAGGGCGCGUAGGUGGUUUGUUAAGUUAGAUGUGAAAUCCCUGGGCUUAACCUAGGAACUGCAUCUAAUACUGGCGAGCUAGAGUACUGUAGAGGGUAGUGGAAUUUCCGGUGUAGCGGUGAAAUGCGUAGAUAUCGGAAGGAACAUCAGUGGCGAAGGCGGCUACCUGGACAGAUACUGACACUGAGGCGCGAAAGCGUGGGGAUCAAACAGG
Molecule: ribosomal RNA, 253 nt
Filed under: uncultured bacterium
Lineage: Bacteria
Also listed under: 1 other name
Description: partial 16S ribosomal RNA
Rfam family: Bacterial small subunit ribosomal RNA
Source: RNAcentral